CAAAUUCAAAAUGGGAUAGGGGGUUCCCUCAAGGGCCCCCGGAAAAAGGGGGUUUUUCCUUUGUGUAAUAAUCCGGGGGAAUAAGGGGGGGGCAAGAUGGGUGUCGCCCGCCGCGGUAACCCCAGCCCCCCGAGUGGUGGGGAUGCUUAUUUGGCCUAAAGCGUCCGUAGCCUGCUCGGUAAAUCUCUCGUUAAAUCCAACGUCCUAAGCGUUGGGCUGCGAGGGAGACUGCUGAGCUAGAGGGUGGGAGAGGUCAGCGGUAUUUCUGGGGUAGGGGCGAAAUCCAUUGAUCCCAGGAGGACCACCAGUGGCGAAGGCUGCUGACUAGAACACGCCUGACGGUGAGGGACGAAAGCUGGGGUAGCGAAUCGGAUUAGAUACCCGAGUAGUCCCAGCCGUAAACGAUGCAGGUUAGGUGUUGGGUUGGCCACGUGCCGACUCAGUGCCACAGGGAAGCCAUUAAACCUGCCGCCUGGGGAGUACGGCCGCAAGGCUGAAACUUAAAGGAAUUGGCGGGAGA
This 520-nucleotide ribosomal RNA is filed under the name uncultured archaeon. Its description in RNAcentral is "partial 16S ribosomal RNA". It matches the Rfam family "Archaeal small subunit ribosomal RNA", at positions 353 to 875 of the family's 1478-position model. The record is from RNAcentral.